GUACACUCCUGCGGGAGGCAGCAGUGGGGAAUAUUGGACAAUGGGCGCAAGCCUGAUCCAGCCAUGCCGCGUGAGUGAUGAAGGCCCUAGGGUUGUAAAGCUCUUUCACCGGUGAAGAUAAUGACGGUAACCGGAGAAGAAGCCCCGGCUAACUUCGUGCCAGCAGCCGCGGUAAUACGAAGGGGGCUAGCGUUGUUCGGAUUUACUGGGCGUAAAGCGCACGUAGGCGGACUAUUAAGUCAGGGGUGAAAUCCCGGGGCUCAACCCCGGAACUGCCUUUGAUACUGGUAGUCUUGAGUUCGAGAGAGGUGAGUGGAAUUCCGAGUGUAGAGGUGAAAUUCGUAGAUAUUCGGAGGAACACCAGUGGCGAAGGCGGCUCACUGGCUCGAUACUGACGCUGAGGUGCGAAAGCGUGGGGAGCAAACAGGAUUAGAAACCCCUGUAGUCCCA
Molecule: ribosomal RNA, 450 nt
Filed under: uncultured organism
Description: partial 16S ribosomal RNA
Rfam family: Bacterial small subunit ribosomal RNA
Source: RNAcentral